This 466-nucleotide ribosomal RNA is filed under the name uncultured bacterium. Its description in RNAcentral is "partial 16S ribosomal RNA". It matches the Rfam family "Bacterial small subunit ribosomal RNA", at positions 339 to 795 of the family's 1533-position model. The record is from RNAcentral.
CUACGGGGUGCUGCAGUGGGGAAUAUUGCACAAUGGGCGCAAGCCUGAUGCAGCCAUGCCGCGUGUAUGAAGAAGGCCUUCGGGUUGUAAAGUACUUUCAGCGGGGAGGAAGGGAGUAAAGUUAAUACCUUUGCUCAUUGACGUUACCCGCAGAAGAAGCACCGGCUAACUCCGUGGCCAGCAGCCGCGGUAAUACGGAGAGGUGCAAGCGUUGAUCGGAAUUACUGGGCGUAAAGCGCACGCAGGCGGUUUGUUAAGUCAGAUGUGAAAUCCCCGGGCUCAACCUGGGAACUGCAUCUGAUACUGGCAAGCUUGAGUCUCGUAGAGGGGGGUAGAAUUCCAGGUGUAGCGGUGAAAUGCGUAGAGAUCUGGAGGAAUACCGGUGGCGAAGGCGGCCCCCUGGACGAAGACUGACGCUCAGGUGCGAAAGCGUGGGGAGCAAACAGGAUUAGAUACCCUAGUAGUC